GACGAACGCUGGCGGCGUGCUUAACACAUGCAAGUCGAACGCUGAAGCUUGGUGCUUGCACUGGGUGGAUGAGUGGCGAACGGGUGAGUAAUACGUGAGUAACCUGCCCUUGACUCUGGGAUAAGCCUGGGAAACUGGGUCUAAUACUGGAUAUGACAUGCCACUGCAUGGUGGUGUGUGGAAAGGGUUUUACUGGUUUUGGAUGGGCUCACGGCCUAUCAGCUUGUUGGCGGGGUAAUGGCCUACCAAGGCGACGACGGGUAGCCGGCCUGAGAGGGUGACCGGCCACACUGGGACUGAGCGACGGCCCAGACUCCUACGGGAGGCCGCAGUGGGGAAUAUUGCACAAUGGGCGGAAGCCUGAUGCAGCGACGCCGCGUGAGGGAUGACGGCCUUCGGGUUGUAAACCUCUUUCAGCACGGAAGAAGCGAGAGUGACGGUACGUGCAGAAGAAGCGCCGGCUAACUACGUG
RNAcentral lists this ribosomal RNA (472 nucleotides) under uncultured bacterium. RNAcentral describes it as "partial 16S ribosomal RNA". It matches the Rfam family "Bacterial small subunit ribosomal RNA", at positions 28 to 507 of the family's 1533-position model. The record is from RNAcentral.